GUCUAUGGCCAUACCACCCUGAAUGCACCGCAUGUCGUCUGAUAUCAGAAGCUAAGCAGGGUUGGGCCUGGUUAGUACUCGGAUGGGAGGAAUGACAAAAGUGAAAUUUCAACAGAUCCUACAGAAA
Fukomys damarensis (Damara mole-rat) is the source of this 127-nucleotide ribosomal RNA. The record is from Ensembl. NCBI's taxonomy places the organism in Eukaryota, Metazoa, Chordata, Mammalia, Rodentia, Bathyergidae.